UACGUAGGGGGCAAGCGUUAUUCGGAAUUAUUGGGCGUAAAGGGCGCGUAGGCGGUUUUUUAAGUCGGAUGUGCAAUCCCUGGGCUCAACCCAGGAACUGCAUCCGAGACUGGAAGGCUAGAGUACUGGAGAGGGUAGUGGAAUUCCCGGUGUAGUGGUGAAAUGCGUAGAUAUCGGGAGGAACACCAGUGGCGAAGGCGACUACCUGGCCUGUUCUUGACGCUGAGGCGCGAAAGCUAGGGGAGCAAACGGG
RNAcentral lists this ribosomal RNA (253 nucleotides) under uncultured bacterium. Its description in RNAcentral is "partial 16S ribosomal RNA". It matches the Rfam family "Bacterial small subunit ribosomal RNA", at positions 524 to 776 of the family's 1533-position model. The record is from RNAcentral.